GCUCUGAUCCUGGUCAGACGAACGCUGAAGUGGAUGCUGUACAUGCAAGUCGAAAUGCAGCAGCAAUGACCGGUCUGGUGGCGAGUGCGUAAGAACGGUGGAGUAAUGGCAUCGGAACGCCUAGUAGCGGGGGAGAACUACGCUGAAAGGUAGCUAAUACCGCAUACGCCCUUCGGGAAAGCGGGGACCUCGGGCCUCGCACUAUUAGAGCGGCCGAUAUCGGAUUAGCUGGUUGGUGGGGUAACGGCUCACCAAGGCGACGAUCCGUGGCAGCUGGUCGGAGAGGACGACCAGCCAUCGGGACCGGAGACACGGCCCAGACUCCCAUGGGAGGCAGCAGUGGGGAAUUUUGGAGGCCGGGGAAACUCUGAUCCGCCAUCCCGCGUGUGCGAUGAAGGCCCUCUUGCCAAAGCACUUCGGCAGGAAGAAAUCGGCACGGGAUAAUACCCCGUGUAACCACGGUAUUUAAUGGGCACUGGCUAACUACGCCAGCAGCCGCGGUAAUACGGGUAAGCAGCACCGGAAUUACUGGGCGUAAAGCGUGCGUAUGGUUCAAAUAUGAUGUGAAAUCCCAGAGCUUAACUUUGGAACUGCAUUUUUAACUACCGAGCUAUGAGUGUGUCAGAGGGAGGUGGAAUUCCGCGUGUAGCAGUGGAAUGCGUAGAUAUGCGGAGGAACACCGAUGGCGAAGGCAGCCUCCCGUGGGGAUAGUGACUGACGCUCAUGCACGAAAGCGGGGAACGUAAAACAGGAUUAGAUACCCUGGUAGUCCACGCCCUAAACGAUGUCAACUAGUUGUUGGGCCUGGCCUGGUAUGCAGCGACGCAGUGAAGUUGACCGCCUGGGGAGUACGGUCGCAAGAUUAAAAACUCAAAGGAAUUGACGGGGACUGCACAAGCGCGGUGGAUGAUGUGGUGAUUAAUUCGAUAAACGCGAAAAACCUUACCUACCCUUGACAUGUCUGGAAUCCCGAAGAGAUUUGGGAGUGCUCAAAGAGAACCGGAACACAGGUGCUGCAUGGCUGUCGUCAGCUCGUGUCGAGAUGCCGGGUUAAACCAACGAGCGCAACCUGUCAUUAGUUGCCACGAAGGGGUACCAUCGAGACUGCCGGUGACAAACCGGAGGAAGGUGGGGAUGACGUCAAGUCCUCAUGGCCCUUAUGGGUAGGGCCACACGCCACAAUGGUUCGGACAGAGGUCGCCAACCCGCGAGGGGAGCCAAUCCCAGAACCCGAUCGUAGUCCGGAUCGCAGUCUGCAACUCGACUGCGUGAAGUCGGAAUCGCUAGUACCGCGGAUCAGCAUGCCGCGGUGAAUACGUUCCCGGUCUUGUACACACCGCCCGUCACACCAUGGAGUGGGUUUUACCAGAAGUAGUUAGCCCAACCGCAGCGAGCGCGAUUACCAUUCCAUGACUGGGUGAAGUCGUAACAAGGUAA
RNAcentral lists this ribosomal RNA (1437 nucleotides) under uncultured Bordetella sp. Its description in RNAcentral is "partial 16S-23S ribosomal RNA intergenic spacer". It matches the Rfam family "Bacterial small subunit ribosomal RNA". Lineage: Bacteria; Pseudomonadati; Pseudomonadota; Betaproteobacteria; Burkholderiales; Alcaligenaceae. The record is from RNAcentral.